GGGGCAUUGGCGCAGUUGGUAGCGCGUCUCAAUGGCAUUGAGAAGGUCAGGAGUUCGAAUCUCCUAUGCUCCACCA
Molecule: transfer RNA, 76 nt
Filed under: Vampirovibrionales bacterium
Lineage: Bacteria; Bacillati; Candidatus Melainabacteria; Vampirovibriophyceae; Vampirovibrionales
Also listed under: 1 other name
Description: tRNA-Ala
Rfam family: tRNA
About the family: Transfer RNA (tRNA) molecules are approximately 80 nucleotides in length. Their secondary structure includes four short double-helical elements and three loops (D, anti-codon, and T loops). Further hydrogen bonds mediate the characteristic L-shaped molecular structure. tRNAs have two regions of fundamental functional importance: the anti-codon, which is responsible for specific mRNA codon recognition, and the 3' end, to which the tRNAs corresponding amino acid is attached (by aminoacyl-tRNA synthetases). tRNAs cope with the degeneracy of the genetic code in two manners: having more than one tRNA (with a specific anti-codon) for a particular amino acid; and 'wobble' base-pairing, i.e. permitting non-standard base-pairing at the 3rd anti-codon position.
Source: RNAcentral